CUUCAUAGUAUCUGGAGCUUCGUUUUAGUAAAAGUGUUCGGAUAUGUGGCACUGUGACCUUCAUCUUUCAGAUGGUGAUCUAUAUGGGAGUUGUUCUGUAUGCUCCAGCACUUGCACUUAAUGCAGUAACAGGUUUUGACCUUUGGGGGGCAGUGCUGGCCAUGGGAUUGGUGUGCACACUUUAUACAGCAUUGG
Molecule: long non-coding RNA, 195 nt
Organism: Sinocyclocheilus rhinocerous
Lineage: Eukaryota; Metazoa; Chordata; Actinopteri; Cypriniformes; Cyprinidae
Exons: 3
Source: RefSeq, a predicted model, not a curated record